Molecule: long non-coding RNA, 598 nt
Organism: Syngnathoides biaculeatus (alligator pipefish)
Lineage: Eukaryota; Metazoa; Chordata; Actinopteri; Syngnathiformes; Syngnathidae
Exons: 3
Source: RefSeq, a predicted model, not a curated record
AGACACCUUUAAAAUGAAGACACAAGGGAGGUGUUUUCAAUUCCGCAGCAUUCAUACCAGUGGGCCCAGGAAGGAAACAAGGUCCAAAGGUUUGGGGAAAGAUGGGUGAGGAACGGAACCCAAGCUGCUUGCGGUCUAGUCUUAAGAAUCCACAGUCUGUCCUAAUUCGGGAUGCAAUGUCCAGUGGAUGUGUUGGAUCUGGGCGAAUGCCCAAAUCACUGGAAGCAGCAAAACCUGGUUUGAUACCCUGCCUUGACUGGGCAACUAACUUGCCGGAUCUAAACCCCACUGAGAAUCGAUGGGGUUUUAUCAAGAGGAAAAUUAGGGUUACCAGACCCAGAAACAAAGGAGAACUGACAGCAAACAUUGUCUUCUGUAACUUGUAGGCAAUGCCACAAGCUGAUUGCCUCAAAGCCAAGGCGCAUUGUGACAGUGAUUUGGCAAAGGGAUUCCCAACUAGGCAUUGAAGAUAUUAUUUUGGAAGUAGCACAUUUUGAUUGAUUCAAUGUGACCCUAAUUGCUUUCUUUUUCUAACAAAAACACAAAAGUACAAAAAGGGUGAUUUCAUCACAGUAUUGUCAUUUUUUUAAUUCUUAAU